This 330-nucleotide unclassified non-coding RNA is filed under the name uncultured fungus. RNAcentral's name for it is "sequence contains ITS1". The stretch from base 1 to 107 matches the Rfam family "5.8S ribosomal RNA", at positions 50 to 154 of the family's 154-position model. The record is from RNAcentral. Lineage: Eukaryota; Fungi.
UAAGUGCGAUAAGUCAUGUGAAUUGUAGGUUCGCGAAACAUCGAAAAUUUGAACGCAAAGUGUACUGUAGAGCCUAAAAACUCUAUGGUGUCUCUACUCGAGCGCAAAAUACCAAUCUCAAAUCAGUUUGUGACUGAUUACAUUGAGGUCUAGUCUAAAUUUUAGUCUAUUCCUUUAAACGAUUCUCAAUCGAUUGUAGUAGUAGUAGCUGUAAAUGUUAGGUUGUAGACUGUUAAGCAGUCGAAGCACUACAAAAUAUACAGAGAACUUACUGCAAAACGAUUUUAAACUAUUUGCAUCGAGUUAGGGAAGGCUACCCUCUGAAUUUAA